UACGUAGGGGCUAGCGUUAUCCGGAAUUACUGGGCGUAAAGGGUGCGUAGGUGGUUUCUUAAGUCAGAGGUGAAAGGCUACGGCUCAACCGUAGUAAGCCUUUGAAACUGGGAAACUUGAGUGCAGGAGAGGAGAGUGGAAUUCCUAGUGUAGCGGUGAAAUGCGUAGAUAUUAGGAGGAACACCGGUGGCGAAGGCGGCUUACUGGACUGUAACUGACGCUGAGUCACGAAAGCGUGGGUAGCAAACAGGAUUAGAUACCCUGGUAGUCCCUGAGCGGGCU
Molecule: ribosomal RNA, 282 nt
Filed under: uncultured prokaryote
Description: partial 16S ribosomal RNA
Rfam family: Bacterial small subunit ribosomal RNA
Source: RNAcentral